Molecule: ribosomal RNA, 301 nt
Filed under: uncultured bacterium
Lineage: Bacteria
Description: partial 16S ribosomal RNA
Rfam family: Bacterial small subunit ribosomal RNA
Source: RNAcentral
CAGCAGCCGCGGUAAAACGGAGGGUGCAAGCGUUAAUCGGAAUUACUGGGCGUAAAGCGCACGCAGGCGGUCUGACAAGUCAGAUGUGAAAUCCCCGGGCUUAACCUGGGAACUGCAUUUGAAACUGUCAGGCUGGAGUCUUGUAGAGGGGGGUAGAAUUCCAGGUGUAGCGGUGAAAUGCGUAGAGAUCUGGAGGAAUACCGGUGGCGAAGGCGGCCCCCUGGACAAAGACUGACGCUCAGGUGCGAAAGCGUGGGGAGCAAACAGGAUUAGAUACCCGUGUAGUCCCUGUCUCUUAUAC